CGCCAGAUUGGUAUGGAUCUACUUCCAACUGACACCUGCUGACGUGCUAGCCGCUGGUGUGGGUGCUGGGGACUCAGGUCCUCAAGCUUGCACAGCAAACACUUUGCUCACUGAGCCAUCUCCGCUGGCUCUGGCUUGAUUUUUAAAUAGAUGCUGUCUGCAGUGCUUUGAAUGGCUUUGGUUCCCACAGAGUUGUGUGUGUCUGUGUGUCUGUGUGUCUGUGUAUCUGUGCGUCUGUGUAUCUGUGUGUCUGUGUGUGUGGGUCUGUGUCUGUGUCUGUGUGUGUGUGUGGGUGGCUUGGCCCACAGGGAGUGGCAGUAUUAAGAGGUGUGGCCUUGUUGGAGGAAGUGUGUUACUGCGGGAGCAGGCUUGAGGUCACAUAUGCUCGGGCUACACCCACUGUGGCACAUGGUCCCCUUCUGCAGCCUGCAGAUGAAGAUGUAGAACUCUCAGCUCCUCCAGCACCAUGCCUGCCUGGAUGCUGCCAUGAUGACAAUGGACUGAACCUCUGGAACUAACUGUUUUUCCCAGCUGUGCUCUGACUCCUAAUGUGCUUGCCAAGGAGAACCUUACUACGGUGCCGGAUUCCUACUGACAUUCUCAGAGGGCCUAACAACCAGAGCAAAGUGGAAAUGAAACACUUUUCUCUCCCUAAGGCAUCGUGGGAUUCAGUAGAGUCAAUGGUAUCUUAGAAAAUCCUUGUACAAGGGCUAGAGACACGGCCCUCUGGGUAACAUGCUUGCCAUUCAGACAUGAGGACCUCAGUUCAAUCCUUACAACCCAUUAAGAAAGCCAGCUCUAGAGAGGCACAUAGGCAGGUCCUUAUUGACCAACCAGUCAGCCUAGGCAAUCUGGCAAGUUCCAGGCCAGUGAAAUACUGUCUCAAAAACAAACAAACAAGAUGCAAAUUCUGAAGAAUGAUUCUUGAAAGUGACCUUUGGCACUUACAUGUACAUGCCUGUGUAUCCUUAUACACCCCUUCCAACUACCCAUGUACACUCACAAAAGAACACCUUUGGAGCAUGGCGAUGCUGUCCCAUAUAUAUGAACAAAUGCCCACAAGCUACAGUGGACACUCAGUCAGCAGAGCAAAUUUUUUGCCAUCCCAGCAAUGAUCAGUAUCUAAGGAAUUGAAAAUCAAGGGCACAAGUACAGAAGUGACACUCAGAGCCACUUUCCAGGACAAGAGAUGCAAUUUCAACUCUGCCUUUGCCCCUCCUUUCCAACUCCAAGCAUCAUCAAGGGUCCUCAACUUCAAGGUCGUCACCAUCUUUCUGGUCACAGUCCCCCAGUGUGGACUUGCUUGCCUCCUCUUCCCAGCUCCCAGCUGUACUUUGAUGACACCGACAUCACAUAGCAUUUCUUUCUUGUGUUAUGAACAUAUCUGUCUCUUAAACGCGCUCUGUUGUCUGACUACAAGCACCAAGCACCCUGUCUGAUUAUUUUUGUUCAACAAGAAAUCAAAGCCAAGCACAGAGCUGGCCCUCACCAAACCACGUUCAUCUCCUCACAGAGGAAAGACAAUACCUUACACAAAUGCAUACAAGGUACUCACUACUAAGACUCCUAAGGGCUGGGAUUGUAGAUUAGAGAGUGCUUGUCACCAUGCAUAUGGCCCUGGGUUUAAUCCCCACCAUCACAUAAAGUGAGUACAGUGGUACACAGCUGUGACCUCAGCACUCGGAGGUAGAGGCAGGAGGAUCGAAGUUACCCUCAACUACCUAGCAAGUUCGGGGUUACAUUAAAGCCUAUCUAAAAAGAGCAGGGGUUAGGGGGAGACCUACCAAUGACUGCUAUAUGUAUGCUAUAUGUUCCAGGUGCUCAAAAAUAAAGGCAGUGGGGUAAAAAGUGAUUGAGGAAUGUGAAGUGGUCGGGGAAGUUUUCUGUGGGGACAGAACAUUAGAACUAACACACAACCAAUGAGCCAGGAACAUAGGGCUCUACAAGAGGAGAGUGUCCUAGGAAGAGAAGCUGAACCAAAUCAAUGCUCGUAUUUGACGGGGAUAUGGGAAUGUAAGCAAGGGAGUUAAUAGCUGUAGAAAGAAAUGGUAUGUUACUGAGGUAGCCAGGGAUAAGCACUUGCUACCAAGCCUGAAUCCUAUCCCCCGAGACCUAAAUGAUGGACACGGAGAACCAAGUCCUUCAAGCUGUCCCCUGACCACCCCACAUGCUUGACGACAUGACCACACACAUAAACAAAUGCAUAGAGUAGAAGACGCCAUGGCUGGCUGAUAGCUAACCCUCUCCUCUCCUGCCAGAGGAGGAGACUACUUUUUUCCCCCUCAUUUUGCGUCGUCUUUCCUUUAUCGAGUUGAGUUUUGUAACCUUUACUGCCUGAUUUCUACUAACUGAUAAGCCUCUUCUAGCAACCAUCGUAUCUGGAGCCAUCUUUUACUGACUCAGAGAAAACACAGUGGUUGUUAGGAAACAAAGGCGGGGAGUCGUGAGAGUUAGCUUUUACCCUGCUUAAGUCUUCCCCCACUAACGUUUAUUUUCCCAACCAUCGCCUCUCGCGAUCAUCACUGGCUGCAGCCUGAAGUUAUAAACUUUCUCACUGUUUGUUUCUUUCCACACAAGCCCUGCCCAUCAUGAAGUAAAUAACUUCAGCAAAACUACAUACUUGAGUCCACACAAACAUUUAGAAGAAAAACAGCCAACUGAUCCACAUGAUAUCUCCUAAGAUAACUACAAGGAUUUCAGUAAAUGACCACACUCCCCGUCUUUUCUUUUUAUUGAAAAUAGAUCCCCCACACACAGGAUUUAUCCUGAUUAUGUUUUCUCUUCCCUCCUCCCACUCCGCCUCAUACCCCUCCCAUCCACAUCCACUCCCUUUCUGUCUCUCGAUAGGAAAAAAAGAAAACAGGCUUCUAAGGGAUAACAACAAAAUAUAACAAAAUAAAAUAUAGUAAGAUAAAACAAAAACUGUCAAAUCGAAGUUGGACAAGACAAAUAAAGAAAAGGAAAAGAUCCCAAGAGUCAGAGAUCCACUCGUUCUCACACUCAGGGAUCCCAUAGGAAACACUAGGCUGUAACAUAUACACAGAGGACCUGGUGCGGACCUGUGCAGCCCCUGUGCAUGCUGCAUCAUACAAGCUCAUACAAGCAUCAAUCAUGUUGCUUUAGAGGGCCUUGCUUUCCCGGCGCCCUUCUUUCCCUCUGGAUCUCACAGACUCCUUUAUUUCUGUCUCUGAAAUCCUUCUUCAUCACCACCCACACUACCACCAUCAUCACCACUGUCUCCCUUCCAAGUGUCGCCCCAUCCAUAAUUGUUAUCAAGAAAGAGAACGAGGAAGGGAACGGGUUAUUUUUGUAGCACAGUGGGAUUUCCCAGAUGUUCUGCCUGGGCCUCAUCUCCAGCAACACUUCUAGCCUUCUUUGCAGUCACCUGGAACAGGGACACUUGCCUCUGUCAUCUGCAAAUCUUUUGACAGAGCUGAGCCCAGCCGUAAGGAACAGCAUCCAGCAAGCAGCUGUACUCUACCUGAUAGCGUCUUCUGCUCCAGCUCAGGACCCUGGGGCUCUUGAUGGGAUUCUUCUUCCUAGAUUACAGCCCCAGAAAGAAAAGCAGAGAGAAUGUGAAGGCUCUGAUGCUAUUUCCAUAGCCACAGAGGAUAGCGUCAUAUGAGCACAGCUGUGCAGCCUCCUAAGUGCUGAGACCUCACCACAGAAGGACAGUGUCACACAGUGGAGAAUGAGAGUCAGAAGACCCACAUUUCCCCUCCAACACGACUGAGUGAGCCUGGCCGAACCUGUUCUUUCUUAGGCUUCAUUUCUCAGUAACAGAGAGGAAGGUAACUGUGGCUGUGAAACCUUGUGGGAUCUCCCCAGACCACAUCCAUGGAAGAAGCAUGAGACACAUACCGAGACCUCUAGUUUGGGAAGAGCAUGAAGAUCAAGAACUCUCAGCUCCGCUAGCACCAUGUCUGCCAACACACUGUCAUGCUUCCCGCCAUGAUGAUGAUGGACUGAACCUCUGAAACUAUAAGCCAGUGCCGGUGAAAUGUUGUCCUUUAUAAGAGUUGCCUUGGUCCCGGUGUCUGUUCACAGCCAUGAAAUCCUCACUAAGAGCAUUAAUAAAUAUGACAGAAACAAUAAAGAUCACUGUUGUACACGGGAAUCACUGACUGAGGUCAAACACAAUGCAGGAGAAAAAAAAUCAGCCAUUGGGGAAAAUCCCAGUAGAAAGACUAGUCUUUGAAACUAAACUAUUAAUAUAAUAAUAUUAUUAUAUUUGGGGCAGUUCAUGGAACUUGAUAAUUUUGCUGUCACGGUAAAUGUGCAUUACGGCGGGCAUUGUCUAGGGUACUCUGGGGUCCUCACAGUUUUCAGGAUGUUUGGAAUGGAAGCUCGACCCGUACGGAAGCCUGAAGGCAGCUGAAUGUCUAUAUCUGACUGUAUGCAGGGACAGUGACUGGUGAUGACCUCAGAGGAUAGCAAACAACAACAAAAAGUGUGUGUGCUGAGGCAGUGACUCACAGGUCAAAACAUGGGCCUGAUGUUCAAUCCCCAGAACCGUACAAGUCAGGAGGGUUUAAGAUCCUAGGAGGUAGAGAUGGGAAUCCCAGCGCAACCUGGCUAACAAGA
This is a non-coding RNA of Rattus norvegicus (Norway rat), 4584 nucleotides long. The record is from RefSeq and is a predicted model, not a curated record. Lineage: Eukaryota; Metazoa; Chordata; Mammalia; Rodentia; Muridae.